Molecule: unclassified non-coding RNA, 990 nt
Filed under: Prochlorothrix hollandica PCC 9006 = CALU 1027
Lineage: Bacteria; Bacillati; Cyanobacteriota; Cyanophyceae; Prochlorotrichales; Prochlorotrichaceae
Description: partial contains 16S ribosomal RNA, 16S-23S ribosomal RNA intergenic spacer and 23S ribosomal RNA
Rfam family: Bacterial small subunit ribosomal RNA (bases 1-119)
Source: RNAcentral
CCCGCCGAAGUCGUUACCCUAACCGUUCGCGGAGGGGGGCGCCGAAGGCAGGGCUGAUGACUGGGGUGAAGUCGUAACAAGGUAGCCGUACCGGAAGGUGUGGCUGGAUCACCUCCUUUAAGGGAGACCUACGGAUGGAUGAAGGUAGAAGGGAUAGGGGACUGAACGAGAGUUUAGUUUAGUAUCACUUCAACAACAAUAUUUCUUCACCAUAUCGUCAAUCCCCGAGGUCGGUCGAGGUCGCGCAUCAUUGGCUUUCAAACUUAGUCUGGGUUUUAUAUAAGAGAAAAAGCUCAGCACGGGCUAUUAGCUCAGGUGGUUAGAGCGCACCCCUGAUAAGGGUGAGGUCCCUGGUUCAAGUCCAGGAUGGCCCAUCUUUCCAGAUAUGGGGGUUUAGCUCAGUUGGUAGAGCGCCUGCUUUGCAAGCAGGAUGUCAGCGGUUCGAGUCCGCUAAUCUCCAUUAGGGGAAAGCAAACAAGGACAAGAUAUUUACAGCCUAGGAAGGAAUCCUUUUCAAAGGGUUUAGUUUUGAAGGCAAGUAAAAACGAUUUUCUUGUGUGUUCGUACCCAAGAUGCUAGCCUAGAUAGAGUCGCUCAGCCAAAAGGCUUCUCCAAACUUAUCUAAACCACCAGUAUCAAAGCAGUAGUGACAGAGGCUGACAAGCCAAAAUCACCUAAAGGGAUCAUCUCAGCACUUUAACUUUCCAAAGAAGAGUUAAAACUGCUGGACUGAGUUCCAGCAAGAACCUUGAAAACUACAUAGCAACAAACAAGUCCAAAGAACUUUUAGUAACCUCAAGAACUAUCGAGAGGGUUAAGCUAGCCAGUUCACAGAGCGAGCCAAAAGCGAGCUUGAGUAGUGGUUAGAGAGACCUGAAAGAGAAGGGAAAGAGUUAUUAAGAGUGACUUUACAGACACCACCAAUAUUAACAGCAGACCAUGAUUAGCAUAGCGAGAGCGACUGGCUAGUCAUAGAGGUCAAGCUACAAA